GAUGAACGCUAGCGGCAGGCUUAAUACAUGCAAGUCGAACGGUAACAUGAGUAGCAAUACUUGAUGACGAGUGGCGCACGGGUGCGUAACACGUAUGCAACCUUCCUUCAACUGGAGAAUAGCCCGAAGAAAUUCGGAUUAACUCUCCAUAGUAAAACAGAACGGCAUCGUUUUGUUUUAAACCUACGGGGUUGAGAUGGGCAUGCGUUGCAUUAGCUAGUUGGCGGGGU
Molecule: ribosomal RNA, 230 nt
Filed under: uncultured bacterium
Lineage: Bacteria
Description: partial 16S ribosomal RNA
Rfam family: Bacterial small subunit ribosomal RNA
Source: RNAcentral